This 82-nucleotide transfer RNA is filed under the name Rhipicephalus microplus (southern cattle tick). RNAcentral's name for it is "tRNA-Ser". It matches the Rfam family "tRNA". From Rfam's summary of the family: Transfer RNA (tRNA) molecules are approximately 80 nucleotides in length. The record is from Rfam by way of RNAcentral. Lineage: Eukaryota; Metazoa; Arthropoda; Arachnida; Ixodida; Ixodidae.
GCAGUCGUGGCCGAGUGGUUAUGGCGAUGGUCUUGAAAACCAUUGGGUACUUCCCGCGCAGGUUUGAACCCUUUCGACUGCG